GCGGUUUUUGAUUGUAGUUUGGAUGGUUCCUCACUGUUCCGCGUCACUCCCAUUGUAUGUACUUUGAACCAUGUGGAACAUCUCACACCACAAGUUUUGAAGUGGUUCCCUGUACUCGUUUUCCGAUUGCUGCUGUAACCAGUGAUCAUAAAUGUGGUGCCAUAAAACAACAGAUUUAGUUUCUCGUACUUCUAAAGAUCAGAAGUCCCACAUAAAGGUGUCGGCAGGGCUGAAUUCCCUUUAGAGGACUCCUGCAGGGCUGUAUUCAUUUCAGAGGGUUAGAGGUAGGGUGAGGGAUAUAAAUUUGGUGCCAUAAAACAAUAUGGACUUACCUUCAGAAGCCUCACCUCAAGGUGCUGGCAGGGCCGAAUUCCCUUUAGAGGACGCCUGCCUUCCUUGGCUUUUCCUUCGUCUUCUAAGUAAACUGCACCCACCUCUUACCUCCUUCUCUGACUCUGACCUUCCUUCUUCCUUCUUACAAGGAUCUUUGUGAUGACCGUGGGCCCACCUGGAUAAUCCAGGAUCAUCGUCACCCCGUCUCAAGAUCCUUGCCUUCAUCACAUCCUCAAGAUCCCCUUUGCCAGAUAAAACAACAUUCAUGGAUUCUGGGGCAUUAGGACCUUCAGGGGCCACUAUUCAGCACCCCCAGUCACCCAGAACCCAUCGGAAAUCACAACUUCCCAUCAAGAUUGACUCAAAGGAAGGUUUAUACCUUCCUUUAUACCUGACUGUAUAGGAAGGUUUAUACCUGACUGUAUAGGAAGGUUCAUAGCAGCGUUAUUGCUCAGAGUUAAAAAGUGGAAAGAAUCCAAAUUAUCCAUCAGCACAGGAAUGGAUUCCUCAGUGUGUCGUUCCCAUAGCAACCAAGAUCCCCAAUGCCAAGAUCGUCUGCCAUUGUCAGUAGAAUAUUCGGUUUAAACGCAUUCGCUGCUUUUAAUUCUCAAGUCCUCAGAAGCAAACACACAGUGAGUAAAACCGCCAAAGAAUCCCUGGACAGAAAAAAACCCAAAAAACAAAAAACGCAGAAAUAAACAUCUCUCCCUUGGAAUGAAAAGUCGGCCUUUCAAACCAGGUUGCUGGGAAGGUGUGUGUAUUUUCCCACUGUAUUAGGAUUUAACAAAGGACGGCGUCCAGCUUUUGAAUCCUUUGGCCCCAAAGACUUGCCUAAUCCCGGGCGCCGCAGGAAAGUGGAACGCGCUGGCUUUUGGUUUAGAAAGUCGUGGUCGGCUCAGAUGCGGCUUCUCUACCUGAACGCAUGCAGGCCUCCACCUUCCCGCCGCUGGGAUGAUCGACCGCUACAGGACGUUGCCGGCGUCAGAAGAAAAAUACCGCCAAGAAGGAAAUAAAGGAGCUCGUGUGGAAAUGCAAGCCAUAAAGAAGCAGAAAAUGAGAACGCCUCAAGACGAAGAAAAACUGGAAUCGGGCUUCCCUGGUG
Balaenoptera musculus (blue whale) is the source of this 1435-nucleotide long non-coding RNA. RefSeq lists it as uncharacterized. The record is from RefSeq and is a predicted model, not a curated record. NCBI's taxonomy places the organism in Eukaryota, Metazoa, Chordata, Mammalia, Artiodactyla, Balaenopteridae. The transcript has 3 exons.